Long non-coding RNA from Meriones unguiculatus (Mongolian gerbil), 1977 nucleotides. RefSeq lists it as uncharacterized. Lineage: Eukaryota; Metazoa; Chordata; Mammalia; Rodentia; Muridae. The record is from RefSeq and is a predicted model, not a curated record. The transcript is spliced from 3 exons.
GCUCUUUGACCUGUCCUCACCAGCUACUGAGACUGGAUUCUUCCAAACGAAGAAGCAGCCAUUCUCAGAGGAGAUUCUCACUGAUGGUAUUUUCUUCCUUGGGCUGUGUUCUCUUCUCCUGCACCAGCCAUUCCAGAGGGUGGUGUUCAGUGGCUGCUGAUUCCUGGGCCGAACUCAACUCUCCCUACAGCCCUCCUCAUGAGAUCAUGCCUUGGAGAGCGGGGAGGGCCCCUCCACAAUCAAUGGGAAAGUUCUUCUUGUCUACGGAAGUGAUUCCUGGCAAUGGGAGCCUCCAGUUACAACUGGGUUCAGCAUGAGUGUGGAGUGCAGCUGCAGUCACACCAGGUGCUCAAGGGCCUGGGACGGGGACCAGAUUUUGGGGAUGUUUUCAUUCUCCUUUGGGAAAAAUUGUAGACCAUUGCUACAGCUCCUACAGUGAGAAGUGUACUGCCAGGAGGCUUCAUUGUCUAGUUCCUUGACUCUCAUGACUUAUCUAUCAUCUGUCUGUCUGUCUUCUGUCUGUCUGUCUAUGUGUCUGUCUAUGUGAGUUUCCCAUCCUACUAUGAAGCCUGAAGUCUGCAUGCUGUGGGGUCACUCUUCACACUCCCAACACAACCAGUAAGGGGCCAAGAGGCCACUCUUCAGAGAAGGUGAGCAAUCUGUCAACAUGUCACAGUACCAAGAGAUUUCCAGCAAUCCCGCUGGCUUGUCCACAGAUGGAUGAAGGAAGGACACCGCAUACGCACAGUGGAAAACUACACAGCCCCCCAAAGAAGGGACUCUUGCUGUGUGUGACAGUGUGGAUGGAGCUGGAGGCCUUUGAGCUCUGUGACCUAAGCUGGCGGGGAGAGAUGAACGAAGUGCAGUCCUGCUUAUCCAAGGAAGCAGGACAGCUGGAUACGAGCCUGCAGAGCGCAGAAGGAUGGCUCUCAGAGCUGAGGAGGGGCUGGGUGAUGCUGGCUAAAGGUACAGGGAUUGGUCACAUGUGGGUGAGUGCCAGGGACAAGCUCUGCAGCAUGCUGACCGCGGUUAGGAGUAACUCCCUGCAGCUUGGACUUCACGGAGAGAGCAGGUCUCAUUACACACAGAGCACAGCCAUGUGGCAUCAGGUGUGUUAAUUACUUCUCUGUGAACACUUAACAGUUACUUGUGUAAAAACCCCAGACCUACACCCCUUGAACAGAAGCAAUUUCACUUUGCUAACAAUACCUGGGUGAAACCUUCUCCUCUAUGAACACUUGCUGCUGUUUGUUUGAAGGAAGGUGAUCCGAAAGCCUUUCUACUUGGCUCUUUAUUGUUCUAUGAGGAGGACCUAAACAGGCUGUGGAGGUUUGUAUGGCCUGUCCUUCCAUCUGCCCCUAUUCCUCUGUGCUCGUUACGUCAGCUAGGCUGUGCUCUACAUCAAGGGGAGUUGGCAUUGGGAACGUCUUUCUCUCUCUCCACUUGCCAGGCUGGGCAGAAGCCACAUAGGAUGUGACCAUGGGCUUGCCACCCUUAUGUAGCCACACUUGAGAUCCAGGCUCAGCCUCCACAGAGCCAGGGGAUAGUUCCCGAGAUUCAGCAUGCAGUGGUUGUAUGUCUUGCAACUGCUCAGAUUCCGAAUGAGUGCCCAGGGUUCCAGGCAGAGACCCCUCCACCUUUGACAGCCCUGAAGGAUGUGCAUGGGACAGCAGCUAGCCUCACUGGGCGCAGGGCAUUUCAAUUAAUGGACUUCAACUGUGACGUAGUCUCUAGUUUAAAACAUGGCUUUAUUGUAAAGCAAAAACUUGUUCAUAGCAGAGGGCUUGCAAGAAAAAAAAAAGAAUUGAAACACACAAAGAAGAAAACUAAAUCCAAGUCAUCCAUCAUGACUGCUCAGAGACAAUCCUGUUAAUUUUUUUGAUGGAUUUCCUUCCUGAAUUUCUGCCUUUUUGGGAUUGUUAUGUGGCAAACAGGACUCACGUCCAGGUCCCUUCUGGAUCUGAAAAUAGAACGGUA